AACGCUGGCGGCGUGCUUAACACAUGCAAGUCGAACGGAAAGGCCCUGCUUUUGUGGGGUGCUCGAGUGGCGAACGGGUGAGUAACACGUGAGUAACCUGCCCUUGACUUUGGGAUAACUUCAGGAAACUGGGGCUAAUACCGGAUAGGAGCUCCUGCUGCAUGGUGGGGGUUGGAAAGUUUCGGCGGUUGGGGAUGGACUCGCGGCUUAUCAGCUUGUUGGUGGGGUAGUGGCUUACCAAGGCUUUGACGGGUAGCCGGCCUGAGAGGGUGACCGGCCACAUUGGGACUGAGAUACGGCCCAGACUCCUACGGGAGGCAGCAGUGGGGAAUAUUGCACAAUGGGCGGAAGCCUGAUGCAGCAACGCCGCGUGCGGGAUGACGGCCUUCGGGUUGUAAACCGCUUUCGCCUGUGACGAAGCGUGAGUGACGGUAAUGGGUAAAGAAGCACCGGCUAACUACGUGCCAGCAGCCGCGGUGAUACGUAGGGUGCGAGCGUUGUCCGGAUUUAUUGGGCGUAAAGGGCUCGUAGGUGGUUGAUCGCGUCGGAAGUGUAAUCUUGGGGCUUAACCCUGAGCGUGCUUUCGAUACGGGUUGACUUGAGGAAGGUAGGGGAGAAUGGAAUUCCUGGUGGAGCGGUGGAAUGCGCAGAUAUCAGGAGGAACACCAGUGGCGAAGGCGGUUCUCUGGGCCUUUCCUGACGCUGAGGAGCGAAAGCGUGGGGAGCGAACAGGCUUAGAUACCCUGGUAGUCCACGCUGUAAACGGUGGGUACUAGGUGUGGGGUCCAUUCCACGGGUUCCGUGCCGUAGCUAACGCUUUAAGUACCCCGCCUGGGGAGUACGGCCGCAAGGCUAAAACUCAAAGGAAUUGACGGGGCCCCGCACAAGCGGCGGAGCAUGCGGAUUAAUUCGAUGCAACGCGUAGAACCUUACCUGGGUUUGACAUGGAUCGGGAGUGCUCAGAGAUGGGUGUGCCUCUUUUGGGGUCGGUUCACAGGUGGUGCAUGGCUGUCGUCAGCUCGUGUCGUGAGAUGUUGGGUUAAGUCCCGCAACGAGCGCAACCCUUGUUCACUGUUGCCAGCACGUUAUGGUGGGGACUCAGUGGAGACCGCCGGGGUCAACUCGGAGGAAGGUGGGGAUGACGUCAAGUCAUCAUGCCCCUUAUGUCCAGGGCUUCACGCAUGCUACAAUGGCUGGUACAGAGAGUGGCGAGCCUGUGAGGGUGAGCGAAUCUCGGAAAGCCGGUCUCAGUUCGGAUUGGGGUCUGCAACUCGACCUCAUGAAGUCGGAGUCGCUAGUAAUCGCAGAUCAGCAACGCUGCGGUGAAUACGUUCCCGGGGCUUGUACACACCGCCCGUCAAGUCAUGAAAGUUGGUAACACCCGAAGCCGGUGGCCUAACCGUUGUGGGGGAGCCGUCGAAGGUGGGACUGGUGAUU
This 1437-nucleotide ribosomal RNA is filed under the name uncultured organism. RNAcentral's name for it is "16S ribosomal RNA". It matches the Rfam family "Bacterial small subunit ribosomal RNA". The record is from RNAcentral.